GAUGAACGCUGGCGGCGUGCCUAAUACAUGCAAGUCGAGCGAACAGACGAGGAGCUUGCUCCUCUGACGUUAGCGGCGGACGGGUGAGUAACACGUGGAUAACCUACCUAUAAGACUGGGAUCACUUCGGGAAACCGGAGCUAAUACCGGAGAAUAUAUUGAACCGCAUGGUUCAAUAGUGAAAGACGGUUUUGCUGUCACUUAUAGAUGGAUCCGCGCCGCAUUAGCUAGUUGGUAAGGUAACGGCUUACCAAGGCAACGAUGCGUAGCCGACCUGAGAGGGUGAUCGGCCACACUGGAACUGAGACACGGUCCAGACUCCUACGGGAGGCAGCAGUAGGGAAUCUUGCGCAAUGGGCGAAAGCUUGACGGAGCAACGCCGCGUGAGUGAUGAAGGUCUUCGGAUCGUAAAGCUCUGUUAUUAGGGAAGAACAAAUGUGUAAGUAACUAUGCACGUCUUGACGGUACCGAAUCAGAAAGCCACGGCUAACUACGUG
Molecule: ribosomal RNA, 497 nt
Filed under: uncultured bacterium
Lineage: Bacteria
Description: partial 16S ribosomal RNA
Rfam family: Bacterial small subunit ribosomal RNA
Source: RNAcentral